CCGGGUGGACACACGGAUGCAAGGCCGAAAUGAGAUAAAAUAAAUGGAUUCCAUUUAAAGGUGCACCUCUGGCAACAACAUGUGCAAAGUGCCAACCUUGAGAUGUUCCCACUCACAGAGGAGCGGCAAGAUCACCCUGCUGCACUGUGCGAGGUAAUAGGUAAACAUCUGUAAACUCUUGAGAAGUUGUCAUUUUAUUUCUCUUCAGCCUCCAUUGAAUGCCUUGACUGCUGUUGGAAAGGACAUGACUUUACAGGAGCAGGAGGAACUAACUGAACUGAAACAAGAUCGUGGUUUAAAGCUAAGAUUUGCUGAACUUCUUUUGGACAGUUUUUGGUUGACUGCUGCCAAGGAAUUCCCCAUUCCGGCCAACAAAGUUUUGACAUUGCUCCCAUUUUCCACAACAUAUGUGUGUGAGCUGAGCUUUUCAAGCCUAACUGCUAUAAAAACUAAAAACAGAGAGAGACUGAAAGCUGCUGAAGAGCUUCGUGUAUGCCUUUCUUCAAUUCCUGCCAGGAUAUCGGCUUUAUGUUCAUCUAAACAGGCCCAGGUUUCACACUGAGAAGCUGCCUUAAUCACGAUGUACCCAGGCUACGCAGGCAGGACCGAGCUCCGGGACAACCUGGAGGCCCGCUUCAGAUCCGUCUCCAUGAUUGUGCCCGACCACGCCGUCAUCGCAGAGGUGGACUUGUGAGCUGAGGGCUUCAAGUCCAGUGAGACUCUGGCGAAGAAGAUGAUUCAGCUGUAUAAGCUGUGCAGCAAGCAGCUUUCCCGGCAGGACUACUACGACUUCAGCAUGAGAGUCGUCAACUCUGUUAUCGUCAUGGCCGGGUCGCUGAUGCGAGAGAACCCACACCUGAGUGAGAACGUGGUGUUGAUUAGAGCGCUACGAUACUCCAACCUGCCCAAGUUACUCAAGGAUGACGCAGAACUUAAAAUAAAAUAAAUUGAUAAAUAGUAAAGAACGCCAAAGCUUACAUAUGGAGUAUCAAAGGUCAUUAUCACAGGAUCACUGGAAUCAGGCACUAGGAGGAAAUUCCAGGACAAAUUAGGAAAUACAAUUAACUGACAUUUGCAAAUUCUUUGCAACUAAAAAGCUGUAAUCAUAUACUAUAUAACUUUUUUUAAAGCAUUUAAAGUAUAUAACAUUAACACCUUGUAAUGUUAUACCAGAUGAAAGUAAAGAAUCCUGGAACAUCUGAACAUCCAUAAUCUGAAAAUCUUGAACCUAGUGUCAAUCGAGUCAAUCCAAUCUUUCUUGUGUGCGUUUAGCGGUAUUCUGUCGGACCUCUUUCCUGG
Long non-coding RNA from Ictalurus punctatus (channel catfish), 1299 nucleotides. RefSeq lists it as uncharacterized. The record is from RefSeq and is a predicted model, not a curated record. The transcript is spliced from 4 exons. NCBI's taxonomy places the organism in Eukaryota, Metazoa, Chordata, Actinopteri, Siluriformes, Ictaluridae.